GUGGGGAAUAUUGCACAAUGGGGGAAACCCUGAUGCAGCGACGCCGCGUGAGUGAAGAAGUAUUUCGGUACGUAAAGCUCUAUCAGCAAGGAAGAAAAUGACGGUACUUGACUAAGAAGCCCCGGCUAACUACGUGCCAGCAGCCGCGGUAAUACGUAGGGGGCAAGCGUUAUCCGGAUUUACUGGGUGUAAAGGGAGCGUAGACGGUAUGGUAAGUCAGAUGUGAAAGCCCGGGGCUCAACCCCGGGACUGCAUUUGAAACUAUCAGACUAGAGUGCAGGAGAGGUAAGUGGAAUUCCUAGUGUAGCGGUGAAAUGCGUAGAUAUUAGGAGGAACACCAGUGGCGAAGGCGGCUUACUGGACUGUAACUGACGUUGAGGCUCGAAAGCGUGGGGAGCAAACAGGAUUAGUUACCCGAGUAGUCC
RNAcentral lists this ribosomal RNA (425 nucleotides) under uncultured bacterium. RNAcentral describes it as "partial 16S ribosomal RNA". It matches the Rfam family "Bacterial small subunit ribosomal RNA", at positions 354 to 796 of the family's 1533-position model. The record is from RNAcentral.